GACAAUCUAACCGGCGCGGCGCCGUCAAUAGUUCAACGCACGUUACUUAAAAUACGGGACAGUGUUUUGUCCCUUUGACUUUUGCAUCGUAUAGCAAGUACACAUUACCAGCCACUCGAUUAUAGAUCUUAGCAUAUUGACUUAAAGUUCACGAAUGUGAAUGAUAUUUAUAGACGCCAACGACGCCAUGCUCAUUGCCUUGGUAUCAACACAGAGCGAUAACUAUCGCGCUCGUUUCCAUUUUAAACCGUAUGAUAAUUGUGUAAGGUUCAUAUUUCAGUGCAUAAUGCAAUAUAUGACGACGAAUUAAUAGUAAACAUGGCAUUCGGGCGCGGACGCUGUUUUAUCAAAGACGCGUGGUAUUUAUACUUUAUUUGGAGAAAUAUGUAGUAGAUUUUAGAACAAUAUAAUUGUUGUUUGUUAACAAGUGUUUUAAAAGGAAUGUUCAGUGUGUUGUAAGGAAAAUGGACGAUGUGCUUGUGUUAUUUACAAUCUUUGUUGUUAUUAUUUUUGGAGGUUUCUUGUGCGUCUUUUUAUAUCGACUAUACAAAGAAUGCAACCGCAAGACAAAACCUACCACAAAUACUACAGAAAGAAAGACUCACGGUCAACGGACAACACGGUGGAACAGAGAUAUGAGCGAUGAUGAUGAUGGUCGUUAUUUCCGAGAUGACUGGCCCGUGGUACCAGUUGUCAACAAUUAUAGUUAUGAGACCAGGCACGAUGAAGACGGUUUCAUUGGACGUCAUCAUGGAAGUCACAACCUCGAUAUACCUCACAUACCUAAUAUUCACAUUGACAGCGGACAUCAUAAUGACUCUGGCCAUCAUAACGACAGAUAUGACAAUUGUCAAGACAGCAGAAACGACCACGGAUGCUGUGACAACGAUACAGGCGGUUACGCGGGUGAUGGAUGUGACAGCGGUGGUGGUGACACUGGCGGUUGUGACAGUGGGGGAGGAUGUGACAGUGGGGGUGGUUGUGACAGUGGGGGAGGCUGCAAUGAUUGAAACUUUAAUAACUAUAUGGCAUUUAGUGUGGUAAAUGUAUACUUUUGAGUCGUUUACUUAAAAGGUAGCACGAAAAACGUUAUGUGAAGAUUAAGCCACGAAACAAACGGAUUAAGAAUGAAUAUUGUCGUGAUUCGUGACAGCUUUAUUUUUAGGGUUCCGUAUUCAAAGGAUAAACACGGGAUCCUAUUACUAAGACUCCACUGUCCAUCUGUUCAUCUGUCCGUCUGUCUGUCACCAGGCUGUAUCUCAUGAACCGUGAUAGACAGUUGAAAUUUUCACAGAUGAUGUAUUUCUAAUUGCCGCUAUAACAACAAAUACUAAAAAGUACGGAACCCUCGGUGGGCGAGUCCGACUCGCACUUGUCCGGUUUUUUACAAUAGAACCUACACUGACAUCAGAAUAAUAUUUGAAUCCUGUUAUUUAGUUAUCGUGCGUCUCACCCGCACCAAUACAUGUGUGGACAAGUACGAGCAAAAUGUCAGAACGUAAGUUCGAAAGAACGUAUGUGCCAUUAUUUCUAAAUAUUAUCAUAUAAAAAUAAUAAUUAUUAAUAUUAACCCCUGCCUUCAUU
Molecule: long non-coding RNA, 1584 nt
Organism: Cydia splendana
Lineage: Eukaryota; Metazoa; Arthropoda; Insecta; Lepidoptera; Tortricidae
Exons: 3
Source: RefSeq, a predicted model, not a curated record